RNAcentral lists this ribosomal RNA (440 nucleotides) under uncultured bacterium. RNAcentral describes it as "partial 16S ribosomal RNA". It matches the Rfam family "Bacterial small subunit ribosomal RNA", at positions 338 to 795 of the family's 1533-position model. The record is from RNAcentral.
CCUACGGGGGGCUGCAGUGGGGAAUAUUGCACAAUGGGGGAAACCCUGAUGCAGCGACGCCGCGUGAGUGAAGAAGUAUCUCGGUACGUAAAGCUCUAUCAGCAGGGAAGAAAAUGACGGUACCUGACUAAGAAGCCCCGGCUAACUACGUGCCAGCAGCCGCGGUAAUACGUAGGGGGCAAGCGUUAUCCGGAUUUACUGGGUGUAAAGGGAGCGUAGACGGCAGCACAAGUCUGGAGUGAAAUCCCGGGGCUUAACCCCGGAACUGCUUUGGAAACUGUGCGGCUGGAAUGCAGGAGGGGUAAGCGGAAUUCCUAGUGUAGCGGUGAAAUGCGUAGAUAUUAGGAGGAACACCGGUGGCGAAGGCGGCUUACUGGACUGUAACCGACGUUGAGGCUCGAAAGCGUGGGGAGCAAACAGGAUUAGAUACCCUGGUAGUC